AACAAGGUCUCCGUUGGUGAACCAGCGGAGGGAUCAUUACUGAGUUACCGCUCAUCAACCCUUUGUGAACAUACCUUAACUGUUGCUUCGGCGGGUAGGCGUCCCCUAAAAAGGACGUCUCCCGGCCCUCUCCCGUCCGCGGGUGGGGCGCCCGCCGGAGGAUAACCAAACUCUGAUUUAACGACGUUUCUUCUGAGUGACACAAGCAAAUAAUCAAAACUUUUAACAACGGAUCUCUUGGUUCUGGCAUCGAUGAAGAACGCAGCGAAAUGCGAUAAGUAAUGUGAAUUGCAGAAUUCAGUGAAUCAUCGAAUCUUUGAACGCACAUUGCGCCCGCCAGCAUUCUGGCGGGCAUGCCUGUUCGAGCGUCAUUUCAACCCUCAAGCUCUGCUUGGUGUUGGGGCUCUACGGUUGACGUAGGCCCUUAAAGGUAGUGGCGGACCCUCUCGGAGCCUCCUUUGCGUAGUAACAUUUCGUCUCGCAUUGGGAUUCGGAGGGACUCUAGCCGUAAAACCCCCAAUUUUACUAAGGUUGACCUCGGAUCAGGUAGGAAUACCCGCUGAACUUAAGCAUAUCAAUA
Molecule: ribosomal RNA, 580 nt
Filed under: Colletotrichum sp. ITCC 4871
Lineage: Eukaryota; Fungi; Ascomycota; Sordariomycetes; Glomerellales; Glomerellaceae
Description: eukaryotic LSU rRNA
Rfam family: 5.8S ribosomal RNA (bases 218-371)
Source: RNAcentral